RNAcentral lists this non-coding RNA (24 nucleotides) under Arabidopsis thaliana (thale cress). Lineage: Eukaryota; Viridiplantae; Streptophyta; Magnoliopsida; Brassicales; Brassicaceae. The record is from RNAcentral.
UUGACCAAUAAUAAAAGCACACGU